GUGCGGCGUAGGAUGUUCAGAUCCUAAUAAAAAACAGAUUAUCAGUAAUCUACGAUACAAAUUUACUAAGCCUAAUUAAUCUAAUAUUAACACAUAUUUAUUGUAGCACUAUCUUAUCAAAUCAUGAACUAAUUCAUCUCGUAAAAUAGUCUUAAUCUAUGUAUUUAGUUUCAUAAUUAAUCUAUAUUUAAUACUACAAGCAUGUCUAAAUAUCCAAUGCGAUAGUGACUGAAGUUUAGGAGGUGAAACCAUAUAUAUUUUACCAAAUAGCGGGUCAACUCGAGUGUUGGGCCACGCCGUGGGCAGGAUGUUGAGCACACCUUUUUUUAUUUAGUUUACCAAAUGCUGGGCCAAUUUGAGUGUUGGGCCACACCAUGGGCAGAACGCUGAGCACAUCUUUUUUUUUCUAUUUAUUUUACCAAAUCCUGGACCAACUUGAGUGCUAGGCUCCGCCAUGGGCAGGAUGCUGAGGACACCUUUUUUUAUUUAGUUUACCAAAUGCUUGGACAACUCAAAUGUUGGGCCACGUCAUGGGUAGGAUGCUGAGCACGACUUUUUUUCCUAUUUAUUUUACCAAACCCUGGGCCAACUUGAGUGUUGGGCCUCGUCGUGGGGCACAAUUUUUUUCCUAUUUAUUUUUGUCUAUCUAUUUUACCAAAGAAAAAAGUCUACUUUUUCUCCUAAAUUUUUACGAAAGUCCGUUUUUCCUCCCUUAAUUCCAAAACCAGGUAAAUCACCUUCCUCAACUUUUCAAACCGUGCAUUUUACCUCCCUAGAGCAGUUUCGAAGGCAGUUUUGCUACAAUAAAUAGUGGUUUUGCUACGGUAAAUUCAUAGCCAAAUAUUGAAAGUGGGAAGGCCGCUCGCCGCAAAAUUUCAGGAUGUGCGCAUAGUGUAUUUAGAAUGCCCGCCAAAGGCCAAGGUGUCUCUUUUUUUUUUCUUCUGUUAUUUUUUUCUUAGCCAUCGAAAUAAUAAAAUAGUGACAGAUAAGAACCAAAUUUUGAAUACCGUGGACCACUUGUUUAGGCGAUAACCAAAAUUUAGAUUACGAUGUACUUACUUGUUUAGGGAAUAACCAAAAUUUUAGAGUUUAGCUAUAGCUAUCAAAUUGUUUAGGACCGGUAAUCUAAAUAAAUCACUAAUGUCCCCUCUUAUGACACACUAAUCAUACCAAUAGUAAAAAAGAUAUUGUACAACUGACGAGAUCUUACAGAUAUUGUAUACUCGACUUUACCUUUAUAGUUUUUAUGUUUAAAGUGCACAAUAGAUAUACAUCUGGCAAAUAACAAAGCCUUUACAGAAGUAUGUCUCUAAAUUCCUCAAUAAAAUAAACUAUACACAUAAUGCUAGGUUGUAACUGACUUAUGAAUACCAGACAUGAAACACAAACCAAUCUUAGUAAUGCUGAAAUACAAUAGAACAGCCAAAAAGCUUCCAAUACAGUGCUUUGACAUCUUAUCCAAUAUUACCGCUACGCGAUAGUAGCACCAAAACAUGCAUUGCAAAUUUUGUUACAGUUUAUCCAAACCAAACAAUGCCUAACGACAUUAGCUACUAUUAAUGUUAACUGAGUUUAGAACCAAACUGUGUUAUGCCAAUAAUGUAAUAACAAGCAAAAGACAAUUGAAUAUAUGAGGGGUGAAAUUAACACGAACACAAACUUACCGCAUGCCGUAGAUCUCGCUUCACCAACUACGUAGGCUGUGCUUCAAAUCGUACAGCAAUACAUCGAUCCUUUAUUCCUGCAGGCAGAUAGACAAGUUCACACUCGUCAACUUGUCUGCAGAAGCUAAAAAAACAAGCAGACAUCACUACUGGAAAACAGGACUUCGCCAAGUGCCUGGCGCACUUGGCGAAGGCCACUUUACACUUGGCGAAGGCUUCGCCGAGUUCCG
RNAcentral lists this long non-coding RNA (1894 nucleotides) under Sorghum bicolor (sorghum). Its description in RNAcentral is "long non-coding RNA (SBIC_LNC003801)". Lineage: Eukaryota; Viridiplantae; Streptophyta; Magnoliopsida; Poales; Poaceae. The record is from RNAcentral.